GCCAGUGCUCAUUUUGAUGUAUGCUAUAUUGAAAUAAUACAGGGAAGAUUAGUAUGGCUCCCGUGCAAGAAUAACAUACAAAUUCAUGAAACAGUUCAUUUUUUU
Molecule: small nuclear RNA, 105 nt
Organism: Nannospalax galili (Upper Galilee mountains blind mole rat)
Lineage: Eukaryota; Metazoa; Chordata; Mammalia; Rodentia; Spalacidae
Source: Ensembl